This 109-nucleotide non-coding RNA is filed under the name Tissierella praeacuta. RNAcentral's name for it is "SAM-I sequence". It matches the Rfam family "SAM riboswitch aptamer (S box leader)". From Rfam's summary of the family: The SAM riboswitch is found upstream of a number of genes which code for proteins involved in methionine or cysteine biosynthesis in Gram-positive bacteria. The SAM riboswitch acts at the level of transcription termination control. The predicted structure consists of a complex stem-loop region followed by a single stem loop terminator region. RNAcentral also lists the same sequence under 1 other name. Lineage: Bacteria; Bacillati; Bacillota; Tissierellia; Tissierellales; Tissierellaceae. The record is from RNAcentral.
UUCUUAUCUAGAGAGGUGGAGGGACUGGCCCGAUGAAACCCGGCAACAAUUUUAAGCUAUAAGCUUAAAAAAUGUGCUAAUUCCUGCAGUGAAAACUGAGAGAUAAGAA